This 213-nucleotide ribosomal RNA is filed under the name uncultured bacterium. Its description in RNAcentral is "partial 16S ribosomal RNA". It matches the Rfam family "Bacterial small subunit ribosomal RNA", at positions 524 to 735 of the family's 1533-position model. The record is from RNAcentral.
UACGGAGGGAGCUAGCGUUGUUCGGAAUUACUGGGCGUAAAGCGCACGUAGGCGGCUUUGUAAGUUAGAGGUGAAAGCCCGGAGCUCAACUCCGGAAUUGCCUUUAAGACUGCAUCGCUUGAAUCCAGGAGAGGUGAGUGGAAUUCCGAGUGUAGAGGUGAAAUUCGUAGAUAUUCGGAAGAACACCAGUGGCGAAGGCGAAGUUCCUGGACA